UAAAUAGUAGCUUAAACAACCCAAAGCAUUGGACUGUUAAUCCAAAGAUGUAACUUAUUGCCUAUUUAG
RNAcentral lists this transfer RNA (69 nucleotides) under Branchiostoma belcheri (Belcher's lancelet). Its description in RNAcentral is "tRNA-Asn". It matches the Rfam family "tRNA". Rfam says of the family: Transfer RNA (tRNA) molecules are approximately 80 nucleotides in length. Their secondary structure includes four short double-helical elements and three loops (D, anti-codon, and T loops). Further hydrogen bonds mediate the characteristic L-shaped molecular structure. tRNAs have two regions of fundamental functional importance: the anti-codon, which is responsible for specific mRNA codon recognition, and the 3' end, to which the tRNAs corresponding amino acid is attached (by aminoacyl-tRNA synthetases). tRNAs cope with the degeneracy of the genetic code in two manners: having more than one tRNA (with a specific anti-codon) for a particular amino acid; and 'wobble' base-pairing, i.e. permitting non-standard base-pairing at the 3rd anti-codon position. The record is from RNAcentral. Lineage: Eukaryota; Metazoa; Chordata; Leptocardii; Amphioxiformes; Branchiostomatidae.